Molecule: non-coding RNA, 344 nt
Organism: Callorhinus ursinus (northern fur seal)
Lineage: Eukaryota; Metazoa; Chordata; Mammalia; Carnivora; Otariidae
Source: RefSeq, a predicted model, not a curated record
UCCACUGGGAACAGCGCCUGUGAACCCGCUCAGAGUCCAUCACUGACUGACUGUCUAACGUACAAAGAGGAUUACGCGGCUGUCACGGAGGAAGCUGCACCAGGUGAAACGAGCGCUUGAGCCGUCACAUUCCAUCUAAAUCAGUGACUCACCCGUUGAGGAUGGCUCCGCGCAAAACAGAAGCGGUUGUGACCUCGUGGGAAGUGACCAGGGCCUUCUUGUAUCCCAGCGAAUGCAGCGCUGCCUACAGCCUGGGCCAAGAGAAUGACCACAGGCCCCCAGGUGAUGGUGAGCCUCACACAGUCAACUUGCAGACAGCAGCACCGGACACACAGUCAGGGCAG